AGGCUGUCUCCACCCGAGACUCAGUGAAAUUGAACUCGCUGUGAAGAUGCAGUGUACCCGCGGCAAGACGGAAAGACCCCGUGAACCUUUACUAUAGCUUGACACUGAACAUUGAGCCUUGAUGUGUAGGAUAGGUGGGAGGCUUAGAAGUGUGGACGCCAGUCUGCAUGGAGCCGACCUUGAAAUACCACCCUUUAAUGUUUGAUGUUCUAACGUUGACCCGUAAUCCGGGUUGCGGACAGUGUCUGGUGGGUAGUUUGACUGGGGCGGUCUCCUCCUAAAGAGUAACGGAGGAGCACGAAGGUUGGCUAAUCCUGGUCGGACAUCAGGAGGUUAGUGCAAUGGCAUAAGCCAGCUUGACUGCGAGCGUGACGGCGCGAGCAGGUGCGAAAGCAGGUCAUAGUGAUCCGGUGGUUCUGAAUGGAAGGGCCAUCGCUCAACGGAUAAAAGGUACUCCGGGGAUAACAGGCUGAUACCGCCCAAGAGUUCAUAUCGACGGCGGUGUUUGGCACCUCGAUGUCGGCUCAUCACAUCCUGGGGCUGAAGUAGGUCCCAAGGGUAUGGCUGUUCGCCAUUUAAAGUGGUACGCGAGCUGGGUUUAGAACGUCGUGAGACAGUUCGGUCCCUAUCUGCCGUGGGCGCUGGAGAACUGAGGGGGGCUGCUCCUAGUACGAGAGGACCGGAGUGGACGCAUCACUGGUGUUCGGGUUGUCAUGCCAAUGGCACUGCCCGGUAGCUAAAUGCGGAAGAGAUAAGUGCUGAAAGCAUCUAAGCACGAAACUUGCCCCGAGAUGAGUUCUCCCUGACUCCUUGAGAGUCCUGAAGGAACGUUGAAGACGACGACGUUGAUAGGCCGGGUGUGUAAGCGCAGCGAUGCGUUGAGCUAACCGGUACUAAUGAACCGUGAGGCUUAACCUU
RNAcentral lists this ribosomal RNA (918 nucleotides) under Escherichia coli. Its description in RNAcentral is "partial 23S ribosomal RNA". It matches the Rfam family "Bacterial large subunit ribosomal RNA", at positions 2013 to 2925 of the family's 2925-position model. Lineage: Bacteria; Pseudomonadati; Pseudomonadota; Gammaproteobacteria; Enterobacterales; Enterobacteriaceae. The record is from RNAcentral.